This is a long non-coding RNA of Hemibagrus wyckioides, 880 nucleotides long. RefSeq lists it as uncharacterized. The record is from RefSeq and is a predicted model, not a curated record. The transcript has 3 exons. Lineage: Eukaryota; Metazoa; Chordata; Actinopteri; Siluriformes; Bagridae.
UUAUAAAAUCCAUUAUAAAUAUCUUAAUAUUAAAAUAUACUUUAAUUAUUUUAUUUUAUUAUUUAAUGCUAAAGGUAAUCCGGGCAGCUCUCCGGGUUUUGUUAACUGUGUUCUGCGGGUUGUAUCCAAUCAGAUGCGUCGAAAUGUAUCACGUGAUUUGGAAAGCGCUAAUUGUUGGCCCAUUCAGGUGGUUUGUUUGGAUUAAUUGAAGGGAUUUGUUUGUAAAGUGCGGCAGCCUGUUUAAAUGGCAAAUUAUUAUCACGAACUUCGAUUAAAAACAUUAAAAUGGAGCCCAAAACGGAAGAGGAAGGAAGGAAAAACAUUUUUUCAUAUCGUCCUUAUGGUACAUGGACUGGUCAGAUUAUUCACAACUUACCCACAAUCCUCAGCGGCAAAAAACAACAUAAGCACAGCAUCUCUGUCUGGUGAAUAAACCCGCUUGGUGUUGAGUGUAAGAAGUGAUGAAACACAGCUCCAGGAUUCCUGCUGCGAUCCUGAGCUCGGGAGACGGUUUAUUGUCCUCGUGUCUGCGUGGGUUUCCUCAGGGUUUCCUUCACUUUCCAAAACGCAUGCCAUGACCAGAUUAUGCUAAAUUGCUCCAACAGGUGAGUGUGUGAACGUGUGUGUUGGUGCUCGAUGAUGAAGAGGAGAAGGAGGAGUCACCACACUGGUCAGUUAGCUCUAAUCGUUACUCAGAUAAAGCUUUAGUCUGUUCUUCUUUAAAUGAAGACGCGUCAGUCUGACGAUUCAGCGAGGUUUUUUUUUUUAUUAACAUUCACACUUUGUUCAAAAAAUGCAAAAUAAAUACGUAUAUCAUUUCUUUAUCCUGUUCAGUGGACAGCUGUAGCAUAUAAACACAGCACAUGGGGGGAAAAAAAUA